Molecule: ribosomal RNA, 517 nt
Filed under: uncultured Acidobacteriota bacterium
Lineage: Bacteria; Pseudomonadati; Acidobacteriota
Description: bacterial SSU rRNA
Rfam family: Bacterial small subunit ribosomal RNA
Source: RNAcentral
AACGCUGGCGGCGUGCCUAACACAUGCAAGUCGAGCGCGAAUAGGGGGGUAACCUCCUUAGUAGAGCGGCGAACGGGUGAGUAACGCGUGGGUGAUCUGUCUCCGAGUGGGGAAUAACACCGGGAAACUGGUGCUAAUACCGCAUGACAUCGUCGGGUCACACUGACGAUCAAAGCCGGGGGCCGCAAGGCCUGGCGCUUGGAGAGGAGCCCGCGUCCGAUUAGCUAGUUGGUGGGGUAAUGGCCUACCUAGGCUUCGAUCGGUAGCCGGCCUUAGAGGGCGGACGGCCACACUGGGACUGAGACACGGCCCAGACUCCUACGGGAGGCAGCAGUGGGGAAUUUUUCGCUAUGGGGGAAACCCUGACGAAGCAACGCCGCGUGGAGGAUGAAGGCCUUCUGAUUGUAAACUCCUGUCGACCGGGACGAAAGCGAUAGAACCUAAUACGUUCUGUUGUUGACUGUACCGGUGGAGGAAGCCACGGCUAACUCUGUGCCAGUAGCCGCGGUAAUAAGGU